This 394-nucleotide ribosomal RNA is filed under the name uncultured bacterium. RNAcentral's name for it is "bacterial SSU rRNA". It matches the Rfam family "Bacterial small subunit ribosomal RNA", at positions 505 to 898 of the family's 1533-position model. The record is from RNAcentral.
GUGUCAGCCGCCGCGGUAAUACGUAGGGUCCGAGCGUUAAUCGGAAUUACUGGGCGUAAAGCGUGCGCAGGCGGUCUCGCAAGUCCGAUGUGAAAUCCCCGGGCUUAACCUGGGAACUGCGUUGGAAACUAUGAGGCUCGAGUGCGGCAGAGGGGGGUGGAAUUCCACGUGUAGCAGUGAAAUGCGUAGAGAUGUGGAGGAACACCGAUGGCGAAGGCAGCCCCCUGGGCCAGCACUGACGCUCAUGCACAAAAGCGUGGGGAGCAAACAGGAUUAGAUACCCUGGUAGUCCACGCCCUAAACGAUGGCAACUAGUUGUUGGGGGAUGAACUCCCUUAGUAACGCAGCUAACGCGUGAAGUUGCCCGCCUGGGGAGUACGGUCGCAAGAUUAAA